UACGUAGGGGGCAAGCGUUGUCCGGAAUUAUUGGGCGGAAAGGGCGCGUAGGCGGCCUUUCAAGUGACGGGUGAAAUCCCUCGGCUUAACCGAGGAACUGCCUGUCAGACUGGAAGGCUUGAGACCGGGAGAGGUGAGUGGAAUUCCCAGUGUAGCGGUGAAAUGCGUAGAUAUUGGGAGGAACACCAGUGGCGAAGGCGGCUCACUGGACCGGUACUGACGCUGAGGCGCGAAAGCGUGGGGAGCAAACAGG
This 253-nucleotide ribosomal RNA is filed under the name uncultured bacterium. Its description in RNAcentral is "partial 16S ribosomal RNA". It matches the Rfam family "Bacterial small subunit ribosomal RNA", at positions 524 to 776 of the family's 1533-position model. The record is from RNAcentral.